RNAcentral lists this ribosomal RNA (199 nucleotides) under uncultured bacterium. RNAcentral describes it as "partial 16S ribosomal RNA". It matches the Rfam family "Bacterial small subunit ribosomal RNA", at positions 1294 to 1500 of the family's 1533-position model. The record is from RNAcentral.
CGGAUCGGAGUCUGCAACUCGACUCCGUGAAGCUGGAUUCGCUAGUAAUCGCGCAUCAGCCAUGGCGCGGUGAAUACGUUCCCGGGCCUUGUACACACCGCCCGUCAAGCCAUGGGAGCCGGGGGUACCUGAAGUCCGUAACCGCGAGGAUCGGCCUAGGGUAAAACUGGUGACUGGGGCUAAGUCGUAACAAGGUAUC